AUUGAACGCUGGCGGCAUGCCUUACACAUGCAAGUCGAACGGUAACGGGCCUUCGGGUGCCGACGAGUGGCGCACGGGUGCGUAAUACAUCGGAACGUGCCCGAUCGUGGGGGAUAACGAGGCGAAAGCUUUGCUAAUACCGCAUACGAUCUACGGAUGACAGCAGGGGACCGCAAGGCCUUGCGCGGACGGAGCGGCCGAUGGCAGAUUAGGUAGUUGGUGGGAUAAAAGCUUACCAAGCCGACGAUCUGUAGCUGGUCUGAGAGGAUGAUCAGCCACACUGGGACUGAGACACGGCCCAGACUCCUACGGGAGGCAGCAGUGGGGAAUUUUGGACAAUGGGCGCAAGCCUGAUCCAGCCAUGCCGCGUGCAGGAUGAAGGCCUUCGGGUUGUAAACUGCUUUUGUACGGAACGAAAAGCCUUCUUUUAAUACAGGAGGGUCAUGACGGUACCGUAAGAAUAAGCACCGGCUAACUACGUG
RNAcentral lists this ribosomal RNA (482 nucleotides) under uncultured bacterium. RNAcentral describes it as "partial 16S ribosomal RNA". It matches the Rfam family "Bacterial small subunit ribosomal RNA", at positions 30 to 507 of the family's 1533-position model. The record is from RNAcentral.